Molecule: ribosomal RNA, 253 nt
Filed under: uncultured bacterium
Lineage: Bacteria
Description: partial 16S ribosomal RNA
Rfam family: Bacterial small subunit ribosomal RNA
Source: RNAcentral
AACGUAGGACACGAGCGUUAUCCGGAGUUACUGGGCGUAAAGGGCGUGCAGGCGGUUUUGUAAGUUUGAUGUGAAAGCGCCCGGCUUAACCGGGCGAGGACAUUGGAGACUGCAAGACUAGAGGCAGAUAGAGGGGUGUAGAAUUCCACGUGUAGCAGUGAAAUGCGUAGAUAUGUGGAGGAAUACCGAUGGCGAAGGCAGCCUCCUGGGAUAACACUGACGCUCAUGCACGAAAGCGUGGGGAGCAAACAGG